AAUAGUACCCAGGUAGUCCACGCCGUAAACGAUGAAUACUAGGUGUAGAGGUUGUCAUGACCUCUGUGCCGCCGCUAACGCAUUAAGUAUUCCGCCUGGGGAGUACGGUCGCAAGAUUAAAACUCAAAGGAAUUGACGGGGGCCCGCACAAGCAGCGGAGCAUGUGGUUUAAUUCGAAGCAACGCGAAGAACCUUACCUAGACUUGACAUCUCCUGAAUUACCUUUAAUCGGGGAAGCCCUUCGGGGCAGGAAGACAGGUGGUGCAUGGUUGUCGUCAGCUCGUGUCGUGAGAUGUUGGGUUAAGUCCCGCAACGAGCGCAACCCUUAUUGUUAGUUGCUACCAUUUGGUUGAGCACUCUAGCGAGACUGCCCGGGUUAACCGGAGGAAGGUGGGGAUGACGUCAAAUCAUCAUGCCCCUUAUGUCUAGGGCUACACACGUGCUACAAUGGCUGGUACAGAGAGAUGCUAAACCGUGAGGUGGAGCCAAACUUUAAAACCAGUCUCAGUUCGGAUUGUAGGCUGAAACUCGCCUACA
This 537-nucleotide ribosomal RNA is filed under the name uncultured bacterium. Its description in RNAcentral is "bacterial SSU rRNA". It matches the Rfam family "Bacterial small subunit ribosomal RNA", at positions 777 to 1320 of the family's 1533-position model. The record is from RNAcentral.